Long non-coding RNA from Gekko japonicus, 1513 nucleotides. RefSeq lists it as uncharacterized. Lineage: Eukaryota; Metazoa; Chordata; Lepidosauria; Squamata; Gekkonidae. The transcript is spliced from 3 exons. The record is from RefSeq and is a predicted model, not a curated record.
CCUGCCAUGGCUGGAAACGACUGGAAAUGGCGGCGGAGGGAGGCCCGUCGUCGGGCAGAAGCUGCGCUCCCUCGAACGGCGGCGGCGGCGGCUGAGGCGGCUGAAGCGGUGCGAGAAAGAGCGGCGUCGGGCAGUUCUGGCGGCCGCAGCGUGGAGAGGAGACGGUGGCGAUGCUAAAGGGGAGGAGGGAGGCCGGCCAAGCACCGCCCCUCGCAAGAUGGCGCCCACCACGGGCCCUCAGCCGGCUGGGGGACUGUAUUAGCAUUUGUCUGUUCUACAGAAAAGAAUGUUAAUUUUCAUUAUCAAGCACUCCUUGAAUAUUUCAAACAGCUAAGAAACAAAUCAAAACAGCAAAUCUACAAAAUAAAACUGUGAACUUAGAACAAACAGCCAUAAAAACAGCUUAGCAAGAACAACUGGGACGAAUAACAGCCAGAGCUUAUGACAAAAGAAAUAAUCAAGAACAUCAUCCAACGCAAGCCACUUCCUCUUGGUAUGAUGGCAUUCACUAUGAUGCAAUUGGACUUUCUGAUAAUUAUACCACAAUGUUUAUACCAACAUAGCACAUCUGCAGUUUUUAAAGGAAGAAAUCUGUACUGUAUGGAAAAUACAGUAUGAAGAAAUCUGUACUGUAUGAACAAUGCACACCAUUCUAAACUCCUUGGAAAAUCCAGAAGCAACUCAACUGUAAUGAGAUGAGAGGGCAUUCUGAAAAUCCUGAAAAUUAUAAUCAAAAUAUUUUUAAAAUUGUUACUAUGAAAAGAAAAUCAGAUUUUUAUGGCCUGUAAAGUAAGAAGCAGAAGACAUGUAAGAAUAGAUCUAAAAGCCAGAUAGGGCACAAAACUUUGUAGUCACAUCUUUUUUUAGCAUAGGCGUUCAGAAUUAAAGAGACCAGCGUGAAGGCCAGUAUAGACGUCUUGGUGAAACAAGCCCCAAGUCUGCACCUUAAGUCCCAAAGAUCUUUAUUUAAAAGAAAAAAGAAUCCAGCCUUCCCAGGGACUGAAAACUACAAUAAGGAUUGGCUAAAGAGACUCAUCCUGGGCCAAUACAAAAAAAGUUAAAGACUGUCAGUCACAAUAUGUAUGUAAAUCAGAUUUGGGAACUUGUUGUCAAUAGAAGUGACUGAACUUGAGGCUCAUGGUUUAUUCAUGAUUUUAGUUUGACUAAAGAUAUAGGUAACCUCACCUCAUACUUGUAGAGUGGUUAGGAAGGAAAAGCAUUUCCCACGUUCAUCACAUCAGCAUAAUCCUGAAAUGUAUUUAACUAGAAUUGUGGAGACUUAGGUUCAAAUUUACACCCUGCCAUAAAGCUUCCUGUGUGAUCUUGGUCCAGACACUUUUGCUAAGCCUAAACGGUCUCACGGUGUUGUUGUGAGGAUAAAACAAAAGAAGAGAGAACCAGCCCAGAACCAUGUUUUCCAUCCUGAGUUCAUUGGAAGAAGGGAUGAAUAAAAAUGUAAUAGCAACAAACUGGCAAUUAGAAUGGGGAAGAUUAGAAAACAAAGGAUUAUAAA